GACUGCAUAGCUCAGUUGGCAGAGCAUUGUGCUAGUAUUCCAAAGGUAGUAGGUUCGACUCCCACUGUGGUCA
Non-coding RNA from Paramuricea clavata, 73 nucleotides. The record is from the annotation of a GenBank genome assembly. NCBI's taxonomy places the organism in Eukaryota, Metazoa, Cnidaria, Anthozoa, Malacalcyonacea, Plexauridae.